This 484-nucleotide ribosomal RNA is filed under the name uncultured bacterium. Its description in RNAcentral is "partial 16S ribosomal RNA". It matches the Rfam family "Bacterial small subunit ribosomal RNA", at positions 30 to 507 of the family's 1533-position model. The record is from RNAcentral.
AUUGAACGCUGGCGGCAGGCCUAACACAUGCAAGUCGAGCGGAUGAAGGGAGCUUGCUCCUGGAUUCAGCGGCGGACUGGUGAGUAAUGCCUAGGAAUCUGCCUGGUAGUGGGGGAUAACGUCCGGAAACGGGCGCUAAUACCGCAUACGUCCUGAGGGAGAAAGUGGGGGAUCUUCGGACCUCACGCUAUCAGAUGAUCCUAGGUCGGAUUAGCUAGUUGGUGGGGUAAAGGCCUACCAAGGCGACGAUCCGUAACUGGUCUGAGAGGAUGAUCAGUCACACUGGAACUGAGACACGGUCCAGACUCCUACGGGAGGCAGCAGUGGGGAAUAUUGGACAAUGGGCGAAAGCCUGAUCCAGCCAUGCCGCGUGUGUGAAGAAGGUCUUCGGAUUGUAAAGCACUUUAAGUUGGGAGGAAGGGCAGUAAGUUAAUACCUUGCUGUUUUGACGGUACCAACAGAAUAAGCACCGGCUAACUUCGUG